CGGCCCGCCUCGGGCUCGCAAGCGCCCUUUGUUCCCGGGCCCUCUCGAGGCACUGCGCGCCGACGACCUCUGGCCUGCCUUCCGCUGCCUGGUUUGCGAUCUUGGCCCCAGGCCGCCCGGAGAUGAGUUUGGAUUGGAAAGAUAGAAAAGAACAGUCAAGACGAAAUCUUUCAUUCCCUCCAGCAUUUAUCGCGGGCGUUCAGGUGCUUCGAAGUUUGUAAUUAGCAGCUCAUCACGUGGGACCUGCAAAGGGCUGGAUGGGUGCCGCGUCCUCGUCGGUGUUUGCUGACAGCCUUGCCUCGGCCAGGUGAGGAAGGCAGCCUGGUAAUAACAGCGCUCGGCCAGACAUCACACCCAAGCCCCAUAGUAAUCAUACCUUUCUGGUUGCAAAAGAGGACAGUCGGUAACUAUUGAGGAGAGGGAUGGCAAAAUAAACUGGCAGCGUCUCCUCGAGUUUGAAAUAUAAAAGCUUAUUCCCAACGUUCUCUCCUUUCCUAUAGUAGGGAAGGAGAGACCUCUGAUCGUUUCGUUUAAAUAAACAUGCUUGCACUUCUGGA
Long non-coding RNA from Peromyscus eremicus (cactus mouse), 557 nucleotides. RefSeq lists it as uncharacterized. Lineage: Eukaryota; Metazoa; Chordata; Mammalia; Rodentia; Cricetidae. The transcript is spliced from 2 exons. The record is from RefSeq and is a predicted model, not a curated record.